Long non-coding RNA from Pan troglodytes (chimpanzee), 1862 nucleotides. RefSeq lists it as uncharacterized. The record is from RefSeq and is a predicted model, not a curated record. The transcript is spliced from 4 exons. Lineage: Eukaryota; Metazoa; Chordata; Mammalia; Primates; Hominidae.
GGAUGGGCACAACUUGGAAGAUUUUGGCUUUGUGAUCCUCAGUGUCCAGUGUCACCCAGAUGGGCCGGAAGCUGCCUUUGAAGCCAACGAAUGCCAUUUGCUCUGAAAAGCAAUGAUGAGUCUCCUGAGCAAAAGCCCUAUGAGAGGACGGCUGCCCCACCCCGUUCCAUGGCUCACCAUCGCCAGCCCCCCACGCCCACCAGACAGAAAAAAAUCCUACAUCUUCCAGCAAUGGCUCCAGCACAGUCCUCUACCACCUGCUGGGGAGAAUCAGCCUUCAUGUGUGGACAGCAUCUCCACAUGAAACCCACUUGCAUCUCAUCUCAUCUCAUCCUCACGACAGCCCUAUGUGUUUGGUGUUGUUUCGCCACUUGACUGAGCAGGAAACUGAGGUUCAGAGAGGUUAAGCUACUUGCCCAAGGUCCCACAGCUCACAGUCUGUGGAUCAAGCCCUUGAACCCAGGCCCCCCUAGACUGGGCUCCAAAGCCGAUGAUCUCUUCUCCUUACUCAGUGGGAGGUUUUAAAUCAGAGCAUUUAAAACACAGAAACAACAGACAAUCCUUUAUAAUAGAAGAGUACAUCGAAUAGAACCACACUAGUGUCACACAGACAGCCUCCUCAUUUUCCCAUAACCAUAUGCCUGUUGGCGAGGCUCGCUCUGCUUGGUUUAAAGCAGUGCUUACAAACUCAAAUGCCCACAGGGACCAGCAGGCAAUGAAAGGAGUGGCACCGGCCUGGGGUUUUACAGUAAUUGUAACAGCCAUGGUAGGCCUGCUGCACACUGGAGAAUGCACACCCACCUGUCUUAGGGGAGGCAGCCUUGACUCUGCUCUAAGCCAUUGUUGCCAUGCAGGGAGGCAGGAUGGGCAUUGCCAACUCAUCCUACUUUUCAAAAGAAGCCAGGAAUCCAGAUUUUUAUGUAGAAUCUCUUAAUUUUUAAAUGAUGGAAACUAAUUCAAAUGUUUCUUUAACCACUAUUUAAGCCAAACAAAACACAUCGUGUAGCUGGAUUCAGCUUAAAGGGUGUCAUUCUGUGACAUCCGGUUUUAAAGUUUAUAGAGGAUAUAAAGUGUAGUUCAUUUAAAGAAAGUCCAAUUUAGUGUAAAAUUAUCAAUUUAGUGUAAAAAUGUUCAAAUGUUUCUCUAAACACAGUAUAAGCCAAACAAAACAUAUCUGGUUGCUAGAUUCAGCUUGCGGGGUACCACUUUGUGAUGUCCAGUGUUAAAGUUUACAGAGGAUAGAAAUGUAGUUCACUUCGAGAAAGGUCAAUUUAGUACGAAAAUUAUCUGUGGAAAUCAAGACAAGCCUCUGAUACACAUGCCAAUUUGUUAAUGAGAGUAUUUCUCCCAGCAGCACUUGCUCUGAAGGAACACUUGGUUCAUCAGAAGAAAAAAAGCCCAUUGUUGUCACCAUCUCAAAUCUGUUGGGUAGAUACCACAGCCGAGUCUUCGCAUGAUCCCCCUGUCUGCAGUUAGCAGAGCUGUCAUGCUGUGUGGCCGUGGAAUGAUCUCCAGAUUUCAUGUGAUGCCAGUGAAGUACAGGAAAAACUGGACUCCCAGAAACCACCACAAAGUAAUCACUCUCCCAUCUCUGCUUGGUACCUUUGAUUCUUCCACAAGCACAUCUCGGGCAGCCAAAAAGAUUGUGUCGAAUUUUAUGUUCUGUGGGUUUCUUUCCAAAAUAAUAGAUAUGGAGUUUGCAAUCUCCCCCAUGAGAAGAAUAUGUUUUGGGAAGAAUGGGAGUCAUAUGGAAGUGACUUGAACCCAACUCUCAGCCUGGAGUCAGGCUCAGUCUAGAGAAGCUGAUCCCUAGACAACCUGCAGAUACAUGAGUAAGAAAUAAAGACCUGUCAUGAAGUUUU